Molecule: long non-coding RNA, 1170 nt
Filed under: Sinocyclocheilus anshuiensis
Lineage: Eukaryota; Metazoa; Chordata; Actinopteri; Cypriniformes; Cyprinidae
Description: lncRNA (ENSSANG00000026020.1)
Source: RNAcentral
AAGACUUUUCAGCAUCUGAAGAUUUUCAUUACAUCCAAAGACUUGAGGGUGAAUCGGUGGACAUAGAUUGUGUUGCACAAGCAAGUAAACCCCGCCCAGCGCUUCUGCACCUGAGACGAAGGUUUGCUCCUUCAGAAAGCGUGUUGAACGUCUCUGAAGAUAACGUCAUGAGAGCAGAUCCAGAGAUUGAGGGACGAAUCAGUAUCUCCGGACAGCUGAAGUUACGCACAGUUACUCUGACUCUUUCUCAUUUAAGAGCCACAGACUCGGGGCUUUAUGUCUGCGAUUUCUCAGGAAAUCCAUCAGAUCCGCUCCCGGCGAGCACAGCCCUCUUUCUGCUUGUAAAAGCGCCAGGUGAGUUGUGCUCCUGUAGAAGGUAUUCUCUGCUCAUCUAUACCAUCACAGUAGGAGUGAAUCUGCUCCUACUCUCGGCCAUCGCUCUCUUUGUGACACAUUAUAAAAAGCCACAUGCUCAGCCAGAGCGUCAAACCACAGUUCCAAUUUAUGAAGACAUGUCAAGUGUGAAAGGAAAAGGAAGCAGUCCUCGGAUCUGUCCACCAGACCCCGAAACAUCUGCUCCAGGGUGGAAGACUAUGCUGGAGAACCUCUAUGGAUCCCCCAAUCGGACAAAUGUGGAACAGCAUCAGGAAAAAGAAUCGUCAUAAAAUUCAGCUUAGUUGUGAAUUAAGCUAUGCAGUGUAUUCAUUUCCAGGGUCAUGCUAAAGUUUAUAAGGAAUAGUGCCAUUUGAUGUUUUGGUAUUAUAGAGACUCCUGAGACCCUCACAGAAACCUCUCCUGCCUCGUUCUUUUCAGAAACCGAGAAACAAAAUAAUUGCAACACCGUAAAUGAUGAAAGCAGAAUUAACAUACAGUUUCAUGUUAAAAUAUUAACAUAGUUACAUGUUAUAAUUUUAUAUGCUGAGCCUGGUAAUCUCCAGUCUCAUCCUGCACCGUUAGCUGAACAGUAGAUUAACAUUGGUGGACUUGAACUUGGACUGCGUAUUUGAAACAACAUAGCUACCUUCUGAUGUUCAUUCAUGUUUAUUCCAUGCUAUAAAUAGUAGUAAAAUAUUAAGAGAUAAUCGGUUCAGGUGCCGUUUGAACUGAGGCGCUACAGUGAUCCGUCACAACACAUUAAAGAGCCACAAAACGGUAUUUAUUGUUUGAAUU